Molecule: ribosomal RNA, 739 nt
Filed under: uncultured bacterium
Lineage: Bacteria
Description: bacterial SSU rRNA
Rfam family: Bacterial small subunit ribosomal RNA
Source: RNAcentral
GAUGAACGCUGGCGGCGUGCUUAACACAUGCAAGUCGAACGAAGCGAUCGUAAGCAAUCUUUUCGGAGUGAAGCGAGCGAUUGACUUAGUGGCGGACGGGUGAGUAACGCGUGGGUAAUCUACCUUGCACAGGGGGACAACAGUUAGAAAUGACUGCUAAUACCGCAUAAGCGCACAGUAUCGCAUGAUACGGUGUGAAAAGCCUUUACGGUGCAAGAUGGGCCCGCGUCUGAUUAGCUAGUUGGUGAGGUAAUGGCUCACCAAGGCGACGAUCAGUAGCCGAUCUGAGAGGAUGACCGGCCACAUUGGGACUGAGACACGGCCCAAACUCCUACGGGAGGCAGCAGUGGGGAAUAUUGCACAAUGGGCGCAAGCCUGAUGCAGCGACGCCGCGUGAGUGAUGAAGUAUUUCGGUAUGUAAAGCUCUAUCAGCAGGGAAGAAAAUGACGGUACCUGACUAAGAAGCACCGGCUAAAUACGUGCCAGCAGCCGCGGUAAUACGUAUGGUGCAAGCGUUAUCCGGAUUUACUGGGCGUAAAGGGAGCGUAGGCGGUUUGACAAGUCUGAUGUGAAAAUCCGGGGCUCAACCUCGGACCUGCAUUGGAAACUUUCGAACUAGAAUAUCGGAGGGGCAAGUGGAAUUCCUGGUGUAGCGGUGAAAUGCGUAGAUAUCAGGAGGAACACCGGUGGCGAAGGCGACUUGCUGGACGAUAAUUGACGCUGAGGCUCGAAAGCGUGG